Molecule: transfer RNA, 73 nt
Filed under: Eschrichtius robustus (grey whale)
Lineage: Eukaryota; Metazoa; Chordata; Mammalia; Artiodactyla; Eschrichtiidae
Description: tRNA-Val
Source: RNAcentral
UGGUUCCACUGGGGAUCGAACCCAGGACCUUCUGCGUGUAAAGCAGACGUGCUAACCACUACACUAUGGAACC